Molecule: long non-coding RNA, 579 nt
Organism: Herpailurus yagouaroundi (jaguarundi)
Lineage: Eukaryota; Metazoa; Chordata; Mammalia; Carnivora; Felidae
Exons: 3
Source: RefSeq, a predicted model, not a curated record
ACACAAAAGAAGUAGAUGAACUACUGCUGAUAAGGUGUUACAGGUGUGCAUUCCUUCUUUUUCUUUUUUAGUGAUUGCUUCGCCAUCCUAUCCAUACCUUUCUCCUCCUAUUCCUGCUGCUGCUGCUGCCACUGCCACCACUGCUGCUCCUUUACCACCUCCACCUCUUGAGGUGGGAGAGGCUUCAAACUUCCCACCACCACCACUUCCACCUCCACCUUAUUCCUGUGAUCCAAGUGGCAGUGAUCUGCCUCAAGAUACAAAAGUUUUGCAGUACUAUUUCAAUCUGGGAUUGCAGUGCUAUCACCACAACUACUGGCACUCCGUGGUCUAUGUGCCACAGAUGCAGCAGCAGCAACAGCAGCUUCAUGUAGAGAAUUAUCCAGUCUAUGCUGAGCCACCCCCUCUGGUAGAUCAAAGUAUUCCUCAGUGGUAUAGUGAGGUGGGGAGACAAGAUGGUACACAGGUGGAAGCAUCAGGAAAUGGUGAGUAUGUAAUGGGAUUGCCUGCAAGAAGGACAGUUAGAUUUGAUUGUGUGUAAUGUAUUUAAAGUUUUUUUUUAAUGUUUGAUUUAAAGAG